RNAcentral lists this ribosomal RNA (253 nucleotides) under uncultured bacterium. Its description in RNAcentral is "partial 16S ribosomal RNA". It matches the Rfam family "Bacterial small subunit ribosomal RNA", at positions 524 to 776 of the family's 1533-position model. The record is from RNAcentral.
UACGUAGGGUGCAAGCGUUACUCGGAAUUAUUGGGCGUAACGAGCUCGUAGGCGGCUCGUCACGUCGGCUGUGAAAUCCCGAGGCUCAACCUCGGGUCUGCAGUCGAUACGGGCGGACUUGAGUACUGCAGGGGAGACUGGAAUUCCUGGUGUAGCGGUGAAAUGCGCAGAUAUCAGGAGGAACACCGGUGGCGAAGGCGGGUCUCUGGGCAGUAACUGACGCUGAGGCACGAAAGCGUGGGGAUCAAACAGG